Long non-coding RNA from Astatotilapia calliptera (eastern happy), 1573 nucleotides. Lineage: Eukaryota; Metazoa; Chordata; Actinopteri; Cichliformes; Cichlidae. The record is from Ensembl.
UCUUAACAAAAAUACAAGAGUGGGGCUUAGAUGUCACCGAAGCUGAAGCUCAGCGUUUCAGAGGAUGAAGGAAUCUUCAGUGACGCUGACUCUACAGACUGUCUCUCCAGAAGACUGGCAACCAUCUACUUCGUCAACUUCAAUAAGGGACCAUGCGUCCAAGGAGAGGAUUUAUUAUCCAUAGACGCCCACUUAAAGGUCUUACAGUGCCAAUAUCAGAAGAUGCAACCAGAUACCAUGGUGGUUCAUAACCAUAUGCAGCAAACGUUUGCUUGGCGGCAGAAAGAAAUUGCAAAUGGUAUGCCUGUGGAGGAUGUGUUGAAGAAGUACCCCUUCUUAGGGAUGCCUACUGGUGUAAGUCAGAAAGCUGAAUUGAACUUGGAAAUAGCUGUCACAUUUAACAUGUUUAUAGUAGUAAAUUUUAUUUGCCCUUGACCUUGUUUUCUUCAUCUGUCCCUCUUUCCUUUUUUUUUAUGUUCAUGUAACUUCUUACAGUAUUGUUGUUAAAUUCUAUAAAAAAAAUAAUUAUGCAGCACCAUACAUAAUUAAUAUCAACUUUAGAUUAUUUCAUUUUCAAACACUGUUAUUUUGUACUGAAAAUUAAUUAACCAACAACGGGUAAUGUAAGCCAGCGAUUUCGUGAAGGGCUCUCAUGUGUUGCAGCAAAGGUGAUUGACGUUACACGAGGGAAAACCCCACUCUACCAGCUCUACCUUGAUGCAAGAGAGGAGGCUCUCACUGAUGACCUACCAGGUAUUUGCUUUUUUUUUUUUUUUUUUAACUUCAAGGCUUCCAUUUUAUAUAAUUUUUAUAGGUAACUGGAAAUGCCAGAUAAAAUGCAUGGGUGAUCUUGUGUUUUGUUGUUUUUUUGGCAGAUCUUGACACAAGGGCUGCACUUUUAUUCCUGCCAUACGUCUUCAAGGAGAAACUGGAUCUCUUUGUCAUACUUGGAGAGGUUUAUCCUAAAACCCCCUAUCCAACUGUUCAGCUACUUUAUGAAGACUGGAAACCAGUGUUCUCCAGAAGCGCUCCAAACAUUGUGAAGUUGGAUGGCAGUGAAGUGUGCAGAAGCUCGUGUAUUUUUGAAGCAAUCAUCUCUUCUUUCUGCUUGUAUUUUGUCUUCAACCUUGCUUACCCAAAACAUCUGAAGAACACCCUGAUUUUUCUCCAAAAGUACAUUGUGAAAAUAGAUGAGGGUGAGGACCGGCCUCUACCAAUCACAGUCACCAGACAAAUAAAUCUUCUGUAUUGACCACCAUGCCUCAGCCAUAUCAGUGCUCCAAAUGUGGCAGAAGAACCUUUAGUUUGACAAAGCUUAUUCAGCACAUAGGUGAUGCCAAUUUUGAUAUAACCUGUGGACUCAGUGACUGCUGUUCUUCCUUCAAAAAAUAUGAAUCUUUCAGACGACAUGUGUAUAGGAAACACAGAGAACAGGUGUUGUGUUAAUAUUGACACAAUGUGGGUCUUUUGUGGAAAAAUUCUCAUUCCUCUGUUAUAUGACAACCAUUUUCAUUCAUACAGUGUUAGAGUUGAUAGUGAAUGGACGUUGCUAAAACCUGGACAGGAAAUUGAU